RNAcentral lists this ribosomal RNA (253 nucleotides) under uncultured bacterium. Its description in RNAcentral is "partial 16S ribosomal RNA". It matches the Rfam family "Bacterial small subunit ribosomal RNA", at positions 526 to 779 of the family's 1533-position model. The record is from RNAcentral.
CGGAGGAUACGAGCGUUAUCCGGAUUUAUUGGGUUUAAAGGGUGCGUAGGUGGCUGAUUAAGUCAGUGGUGAAAGCUAUGGCUCAACCAUAGUCUUGCCGUUGAUACUGGUUAGCUUGAGUGUAGAUGAUGUAGGCGGAAUGCGUAGUGUAGCGGUGAAAUGCAUAGAUAUUACGCAGAACUCCGAUUGCGAAGGCAGCUUACAAAACUACUACUGACACUGAGGCACGAAAGCGUGGGUAUCAAACAGGAUU